Molecule: non-coding RNA, 45 nt
Organism: Schistosoma mattheei
Lineage: Eukaryota; Metazoa; Platyhelminthes; Trematoda; Strigeidida; Schistosomatidae
Source: Rfam
AUCCACCUGACGAGUCCCUAAUAAGACGAAACGCGCGUCCUGGAU